UAGACGUAUUUCUUCGAGUCAGAUCUGUAGCGUAACCUAACCUUUCGAUGGCGUCGGUUUUUCAUUACUAUUGUAUUACUGUUUAUACAUUGUGAUUAAUAUUGUUUAAUUAAUGCACGUUUACUUUAUCGUUUACUGAACACUUUGGUAGUAAAAUCAGAAUGUUGGUUGACUGCGGUUGAUUGCUGUUAACUACAGAGAUGUCAUGAGAGAAAAUGAAGCAUAAAGAAUAAACACCAAUGUCUUUUUCAUGCAGAUUUGAAUCAGUGCUUCGCGCAAGAGUAUUCAGUCUCUCCAAUAUUAAAGAACCACACUUAUUAUCUGAAUAUCUAGUUCUUAUUAUCUGAAGGGGAUUUAGCAAUGCUUCAAAAUUUAAAAGCAUGGUCGACAUACUCCACUUGUUCCUAUCUUCUGGUGGGGAUCUAGCUAUGCUCCAGCAACCAAAAGUGGAUAAAUUGUAAUAUUCUACAUUAAAGAUGUUACAUUCUCUUCUUACCUUCUCUGCUUUUUCCUAUCCUCUGGGGAGGAUCUAAUGGUGCUUUAGGAGCCAAAACUAAAUUUUUCACAGCCGUCGUCCCCGUCGAAUUUGAUGGUCCAUGAUAACGACCCUCGUGAUGAUUUCUUCUGGGCUACUGCAAUAUUGAUGAUAAUAUCCUCGGUAUUCAAUGGUGAGUCACAUGCAUUUUUAUCCUUCCAGUCAUUCAAUCAUGUUGUAGGAUGAAAGAUACGAACCGACACGUGUGAUUGGUUGCAUUUUUCGUAGAAUUUUUUGCGAGCAUACUGACCGCUGGUAUUUAUUAUACACAUAAAUAGUAACACAUAUUUUUGUGAUUUAUUUACUAGUUCAGAAUAGGUUUUGUUGCACAUCGCGGUUUUUGAUAGUUAAUUCAAACGCAUGUAUUUGAAAAUGUAUAAAAUUAAAACGUAUUCAAUAUGAAUAUUUAUAAAAACGAAAUAUUCAUACAAAUAUACAUCUAUGUAAAUAUAAAUAGUAAAGUAAGCUAUGAAUAGCGAAAUAUCAAAUAUUGAUGUAACUUCAUUUGAGUAUUUCGUAGCAAGUAUGUCGGAUACUUUCCGACUUCAUUACUAUCAAAGCUGCAAUUAUUACACGAUAGUAACGAUAGACACUAUCGUUAUUAUUAGAUGUAAUAAGUAAUUUUCAAUUUCAUGCUUCUGUUUUAUGAUACUAUUGAGUUAUUUAAUUGUUUGAUUUCUACAUUAUAAGCUUCAAUAUAAUUGAAUACAUAAAGAUAUUAAAGUUCAAUUUCCGUCACACGAAUGUAUGAUAUUUUAAGUACAACAAGAAAUUUCGCGACAGAGUUGAUUUUUAAAUCAAAGCAAUAAGUUUGAAAAUUUCUUUUGUGUCUUCGAAAAUGUACUUUAGUGAGAAAAUUGCUUGAGAUAUUAUUUUUAUCAAUAUUAAAUUUAGUAUCAGUUAUUUCACUGAUAUUUGUCUUUCUUCCAAUAAGUAUAUUUCUUACUUGCUGCUAAUUUUUUUCGAUUAAGUGUUAAAAUUUCAAUAAUAUAAUAAAGUAGAUCCAAUUAAGUAAAAUUAAUAAGUUAGAGUUAUUACAAUGUAAAAUAAAGUAAUAAAAUACAAAUUUAAAGAAUAUUAGUCUGCUAAAUACAAAGUAUAAUAGACAAGCCAAUCAGCUUUUUAAUUCAGGAUUUUUAGAUUUAACCGCUUCCGUAUUCACUGUCAGAAUCUCACUCACGUAUCCAGAUGCUAUUUGAGUGGGAGAAAGAACAUAGAUACAAUGAUCAUAUAUCGAAUAAUUUGCUAGGCUGAUAAUGUGUUAAUGUAUCGUGCAUGACAUAUUUUUCACGUGUGUGUCUGUGGUUAGAUUAUGGAAUUGUGCCAUUUUGACUUUUAAUUCAUUUACUAUAAUUUCAAGCAUCAAAACAGAUUCAUACAAAUAGUAAUGUAAUUGCAAUGUGCAAUAGCAGUAUCAGAUCCAAUAUUAAAUAACCAGAUUAUAGAUAACGAUACUAUUAAUCGUAUUAUUAUAUUUUAUAUCAUUUGUGUCAGUAAUAUAAUUUUCUUAAGAAUAUGUAUGAAUACUUAUAAUUAAAGUAAAGGUUUACACGGGUCUUAUGCAAUAUUCACUAGCCUUCGUCAGUCGAUUACAGGAAAUUGUACGUACAUUAGAGUGUGCAAGUUGUUUGUUAAACUCAACGACUGUCGGAGGCGUCUUGGAACGUUUCUUUAAUGAAAAUCCUUGUGCCCGGGCUAUGCGUGACAACCAUGGAGCGAGUGUGUUACUGUGUCUGUCUCUUGCCAUUUUGUUAAAAAUAGAACUGAAUGGGAUAGAUAGCAUACUUUUUAGUAUGAGUAUUAAAUCAUAAUUAAGUAGAGCCGUGCAGCCGUAGUCUUUGCUCUAGGCAUGCUUUCGCGUGUCCAACCAGUCCCAGGAAAUUUGAAGGUGAAGCUGGAAUGAAUGGUGCAUGCCACUCGUCUCUGGCUUUGCCCAUCGAUUCUUCAACUUUCGCGAUCAUGGUCGUGAGUAGGAUUUCAAACUAAUGUUUAUUUAUUGCGCGAGCGUGCAUGUGAGAACAUACAGCGAUCAUUAUGAUCGUUGGUCGAUCAUGUGUCUUUAAAUCAGUUUUCACGAUUUAUAUUUUUAUUCCGCCUUUAUAAAUUAUUUUUUGUUUCGCAAUCAGAAAGCUUCGAGCUAGAUUUAAGUUUCAGCAGGCAUUGCGCCCGAAGAAAAAAGAGGCUACGACCCAAAGAGACCCGAAAAAUUUCCCAUAGAGGAGGGUUCUGGAUCAUCCAAAGCAUGGAAAGCCAUUCUCAUUACUAUUUUGUCACUAUGCUCGUUUUUAAUAUCUGCAGUUGUAGUAUUUUUCUUCUUUUUUGGAGGAGCGGGGGGGAGCAAUGUAUAUGUCUCUCUCUUUGUUUUUAUAUUUCUGUUUUUUUUUUGUUAGUGUUGUGAAAGAUUAAUUACAGUUUGAAUUAGAGUUAUGGAUAAAGUGUGGAUAAAGACACAUACACAUGUUAUGUCAUAUACAUCUCAUGCUAUAUCCAUUUACCUUAUUGUAUUUAGAUUCUUAGAUAGAUAAAACCCUUAAACAAAUCAUUAGAUUUUUAUAAGGAUAAGAUGUAUAACAUUUUCAGAUCUGUGAUAGGACUUAUACUUAAGUUGACAGAGAUCCAUGGUAUUUCAGGAUAUACAGAGAGGUAGUCAAGCUUUUAAAAGGUAUAUUCAUCCCACACGACACUCCUUUCCUUUUUCUUGUUAUAAUUAUAUACUUUAUAUAUAUAAGACAAUUUGGAUUUAUUGUAAAAUAAGGAUAAAUUUAUGGUUAGGAAGGAUGCUUCUGAGUUGGAAGGCUAGUUAUUUUAUUGUUAGAUGGGAAUAAAUUUAAAAUUAAAAAUUAAGAUAGAUAUUUUUUUUGUUACAGAGUUGUUUAAUAGUUACUUUUUAGUGGAGAUCUUAUAUAUUGUAUAUUGUUAGGGAGGGAUAAAUUUACAGUUAGAAAAUCUAUUUUUGAGUUAAGCAGUUUAUGAAUAGCUAUUUUUUAGUGAAAAUUUUAUACGAUAUGUAACAUGAUAACUACUAUUACUAUCUACUAAAUACAAUAAUUAAUUGUGUAUUUAUUUAUGAUGUAUUAAUAGCUAAGUGCAUGUGUAAUUAUUG
This is a long non-coding RNA of Bombus pyrosoma, 3638 nucleotides long. RefSeq lists it as uncharacterized. The record is from RefSeq and is a predicted model, not a curated record. Lineage: Eukaryota; Metazoa; Arthropoda; Insecta; Hymenoptera; Apidae. The transcript is spliced from 7 exons.